AACGAACGCUGGCGGCAUGCCUAACACAUGCAAGUCGAACGAGACCUUCGGGUCUAGUGGCGCACGGGUGCGUAACACGUGGGAAUCUGCCCUUUGCUUCGGAAUAACAGUUAGAAAUGACUGCUAAUACCGGAUGAUGUCGAAAGACCAAAGAUUUAUCGGCAAAGGAUGAGCCCGCGUAAGAUUAGGUAGUUGGUGGGGUAAAGGCCUACCAAGCCGACGAUCCUUAGCUGGUCUGAGAGGAUGAUCAGCCACACUGGGACUGAGACACGGCCCAGACUCCUACGGGAGGCAGCAGUGGGGAAUAUUGGACAAUGGGCGAAAGCCUGAUCCAGCAAUGCCGCGUGAGUGAUGAAGGCCUUAGGGUUGUAAAGCUCUUUUACCAGGGAUGAUAAUGACAGUACCUGGAGAAUAAGCUCCGGCUAACUCCGUG
Molecule: ribosomal RNA, 433 nt
Filed under: uncultured bacterium
Lineage: Bacteria
Description: partial 16S ribosomal RNA
Rfam family: Bacterial small subunit ribosomal RNA
Source: RNAcentral